Molecule: ribosomal RNA, 467 nt
Filed under: uncultured bacterium
Lineage: Bacteria
Description: partial 16S ribosomal RNA
Rfam family: Bacterial small subunit ribosomal RNA
Source: RNAcentral
ACGAACGCUGGCGGCGUGCUUCACACAUGCAAGUCGCACGGAAAGGCCCUGCUUGUGUGGGGUGCUCGAGUGGCGAACGGGUGAGUAACACGUGAGUAACCUGCCCUUGACUUUGGGAUAACUUCAGGAAACUGGGGCUAAUACCGGAUAGGAGCUCCUGCUGCAUGGUGGGGGUUGGAAAGUUUCGGCGGUUGGGGAUGGACUCGCGGCUUAUCAGCUUGUUGGUGGGGUAGUGGCUUACCAAGGCUUUGACGGGUAGCCGGCCUGAGAGGGUGACCGGCCACAUUGGGACUGAGAUACGGCCCAGACUCCUACGGGAGGCAGCAGUGGGGAAUAUUGCACAAUGGGCGGAAGCCUGAUGCAGCAACGCCGCGUGCGGGAUGACGGCCUUCGGGUUGUAAACCGCUUUCGCCUGUGACGAAGCGUGAGUGACGGUAAUGGGUAAAGAAGCACCGGCUAACUACGUG